Molecule: non-coding RNA, 625 nt
Organism: Pelobates cultripes (western spadefoot toad)
Lineage: Eukaryota; Metazoa; Chordata; Amphibia; Anura; Pelobatidae
Source: the annotation of a GenBank genome assembly
AGGGACACUGUAGAAUUAGGAAUACAGAUCUGAUAUUCCUGAUGCUACCGUCUUAAUGUCCUUACUUAGUUUCAAAACUAUUCUUGUAAAAACAAAAAAAUAGAUUACCUUCUGUCUGACGGCAAGUCUACUUUGGCGCUGCCACGGCCUACUCCUGGUCUGUCAUGCUGGAGGCAUGCCUCCAGGUUGAUGGUCGAAUCCAAUGAAGGGACAUGCCUGGCACGCUUCAAUGUGUCUGUAAUUCUGUUAUAGAGAAUCAUUGAAUACAAUGAUUUCCUAUGGCAGACCAUAAUGCCACUGCGCAUGACAUCAUGGUAUGCUAGAGUAGGAGAGGCCGGAAGAUGCUGCCAUGAAUAACAGCCUGGAAAAUAAAAUUACGGUAAGUAUGGUUUAAAUUUUUCACUCAGAUCCAAGUGUUUAAUAUAUUACCUUCAAAAUAUUAGGGGAAACAAUAUUUAAAACAAAGAGUCAGCUUCACAUUAGUAUAUCUGCGCACAACCAGCUUCACGCUAGUAUAUCUGCACACAGCAAGUUUCACAUUACUGUACCUGCACAUAGCUGUGAGUCGGCUUCCUCACGGGAACAAAAAGAAAUCAAGAACAGUCCAAGUUGUGUAUGCAGCAAG